GGUUAAGCGACUAAGCGUACACGGUGGAUGCCUAGGCAAUCAGAGGCGAUGAAGGACGUGCUAAUCUGCGAAAAGCGUCGGUAAGGUGAUAUGAACCGUUAUAACCGACGAUGUCCGAAUGGGGAAACCCAGUGCAAUUCGUUGCACUAUCGUUUGAUGAAUACAUAGUCAAACGAGGCGAACCGAGGGAACUGAAACAUCUCAGUACCUCGAGGAAAAGAAAUCAACCGAGAUUCCCCUAGUAGCGGCGAGCGAACGGGGAGCAGCCCAGAGUCUUAAUCAGCAUUAGCAUCAGGAGAACGGUCUGGAAAGGCCGGCAGUAAAGGGUGAUAGCCCCGUAUCCGAAGGUGUUAGUGUUGUGAACUCGACGAGUAGGGCGGGACACGUGUUAUCCUGUCUGAAUAUGGGGGGACCAUCCUCCAAGGCUAAAUACUCCUGAUUGACCGAUAGUGAACCAGUACCGUGAGGGAAAGGCGAAAAGAACCCCGGCGAGGGGAGUGAAAUAGAACCUGAAACCGUGUACGUACAAGCAGUGGGAGCCUUGAUUUAUCAGGGUGACUGCGUACCUUUUGUAUAAUGGGUCAGCGACUUAUAUUCUGUAGCAAGGUUAACCGUAUAGGGGAGCCGUAGGGAAACCGAGUCUUAACUGGGCGAAUGAGUUGCAGGGUAUAGACCCGAAACCCGGUGAUCUAGCCAUGGGCAGGUUGAAGGUUGGGUAACACUAACUGGAGGACCGAACCGACUAAUGUUGAAAAAUUAGCGGAUGACUUGUGGCUGGGGGUGAAAGGCCAAUCAAACCGGGAGAUAGCUGGUUCUCCCCGAAAGCUAUUUAGGUAGCGCCUCGUGAACUCAUCUUCGGGGGUAGAGCACUGUUUCGACUAGGGGGUCAUCCCGACUUACCAACUCGAUGCAAACUACGAAUACCGAAGAAUGUUAUCACGGGAGACACACGGCGGGUGCUAACGUUCGUCGUGAAGAGGGAAACAACCCAGACCGCCAGCUAAGGUCCCAAAGUCAUAGUUAAGUGGGAAACGAAGUGGGAAGGCUCAGACAGCCAGGAUGUUGGCUUAGAAGCAGCCAUCAUUUAAAGAAAGCGUAAUAGCUCACUGGUCGAGUCGGCCUGCGCGGAAGAUGUAACGGGGCUAAACUAUGCACCGAAGCUGCGGCAGCGAUAUGUAAAUAUUGUUGGGUAGGGGAGCGUUCUGUAAGCCUGUGAAGGUGUGCUGUGAGACAUGCUGGAGGUAUCAGAAGUGCGAAUGCUGACAUAAGUAACGAUAAUGCGGGUGAAAAACCCGCACGCCGGAAGACCAAGGGUUCCUGUCCAACGUUAAUCGGGGCAGGGUGAGUCGACCCCUAAGGCGAGGCAGAAAUGCGUAGUCGAUGGGAAACGGGUUAAUAUUCCCGUACUGGUGAUAAUUGCGAUGGGGGGACGGAGAAGGUUAGGCUGGCCGGGCGACGGUUGUCCCGGUUUAAGGAUGUAGGCAGGUGAAUUAGGCAAAUCCGGUUCACUAUAUGCUGAGGUCUGAUGACGAGUCACUACGGUGGCGAAGUAGCUCAUACCCCGCUUCCAGGAAAAGCCUCUAAGCUCUAGAUUAUCAUUAAUCGUACCCCAAACCGACACAGGUGGUCAGGUAGAGAAUACUCAGGCGCUUGAGAGAACUCGGGUGAAGGAACUAGGCAAAAUGGUGCCGUAACUUCGGGAGAAGGCACGCUGGCAUUAGGUGAAGUGGUUUACCCAUGGAGCUGAAGCCAGUCGCAGAUACCAGCUGGCUGCAACUGUUUAUUAAAAACACAGCACUGUGCAAACACGAAAGUGGACGUAUACGGUGUGACGCCUGCCCGGUGCUGGAAGGUUAAUUGAUGGGGUUAUCCGUAAGGAGAAGCUCUUGAUCGAAGCCCCAGUAAACGGCGGCCGUAACUAUAACGGUCCUAAGGUAGCGAAAUUCCUUGUCGGGUAAGUUCCGACCUGCACGAAUGGCGUAAUGAUGGCCAGGCUGUCUCCACCCGAGACUCAGUGAAAUUGAACUCGCUGUGAAGAUGCAGUGUACCCGCGGCAAGACGGAAAGACCCCGUGAACCUUUACUAUAGCUUGACACUGAACAUUGAGCCUUGAUGUGUAGGAUAGGUGGGAGGCUUCGAAGCGUGGACGCCAGUCUGCGUGGAGCCAACCUUGAAAUACCACCCUUUAAUGUUUGAUGUUCUAACGUUGCCCCGUUAUCCGGGGUGCGGACAGUGUCUGGUGGGUAGUUUGACUGGGGCGGUCUCCUCCCAAAGAGUAACGGAGGAGCACGAAGGUUGGCUAAGCAUGGUCGGACAUCAUGCGGUUAGUGCAAAGGCAUAAGCCAGCUUGACUGCGAGAGUGACGGCUCGAGCAGGUACGAAAGUAGGUCUUAGUGAUCCGGUGGUUCUGAAUGGAAGGGCCAUCGCUCAACGGAUAAAAGGUACUCCGGGGAUAACAGGCUGAUACCGCCCAAGAGUUCAUAUCGACGGCGGUGUUUGGCACCUCGAUGUCGGCUCAUCACAUCCUGGGGCUGAAGUAGGUCCCAAGGGUACGGCUGUUCGCCGUUUAAAGUGGUACGCGAGCUGGGUUUAGAACGUCGUGAGACAGUUCGGUCCCUAUCUGCCGUGGGCGUUGGAAGAUUGAAAGGGGCUGCUCCUAGUACGAGAGGACCGGAGUGGACGCACCACUGGUGUUCGGGUUGUCAUGCCAAUGGCAUUGCCCGGUAGCUAAGUGCGGAAAAGAUAACCGCUGAAAGCAUCUAAGCGGGAAACUUGCCUUGAGAUGAGUCUUCCCUGACCCUUUAAGGGUCCUAAAGGAACGUUUAAGACUAAGACGUUGAUAGGUUGGGUGUGUAAGCGUAGCGAUACGUUGAGCUAACCAAUACUAAUGAACCGUGAGGCUUAACCUG
RNAcentral lists this ribosomal RNA (2909 nucleotides) under Providencia sp. R33. Its description in RNAcentral is "23S ribosomal RNA". It matches the Rfam family "Bacterial large subunit ribosomal RNA". Lineage: Bacteria; Pseudomonadati; Pseudomonadota; Gammaproteobacteria; Enterobacterales; Morganellaceae. The record is from RNAcentral.